Transfer RNA from Ovis aries (sheep), 72 nucleotides. It matches the Rfam family "tRNA". From Rfam's summary of the family: Transfer RNA (tRNA) molecules are approximately 80 nucleotides in length. Their secondary structure includes four short double-helical elements and three loops (D, anti-codon, and T loops). Further hydrogen bonds mediate the characteristic L-shaped molecular structure. tRNAs have two regions of fundamental functional importance: the anti-codon, which is responsible for specific mRNA codon recognition, and the 3' end, to which the tRNAs corresponding amino acid is attached (by aminoacyl-tRNA synthetases). tRNAs cope with the degeneracy of the genetic code in two manners: having more than one tRNA (with a specific anti-codon) for a particular amino acid; and 'wobble' base-pairing, i.e. permitting non-standard base-pairing at the 3rd anti-codon position. The record is from Rfam. NCBI's taxonomy places the organism in Eukaryota, Metazoa, Chordata, Mammalia, Artiodactyla, Bovidae.
UCCUGGGUAGCUCAGCUGGUAAAGAAUCUGCCUGCCAUGUAGGAGACCCUGGUCCAAUUCCUGGGUCAGGAA